CGUCAGGAGGAAAGGUACUAGUUAAUAACUGCUAGUAGUGACGGUACCGACAGAAGAAGCUCCGGCUAACUCCGUGCCAGCAGCCGCGGUAAUACGGAGGGUGCGAGCGUUAAUCGGAAUUACUGGGCGUAAAGCGUACGCAGACGGUCAGUUAAGCGAGAUGUGAAAGCCCCGGGCUCAACCUGGGAACUGCAUUUCGAACUGGCAAACUAGAGUGUAUAGAGGGUGGUAGAAUUUCAGGUGUAGCGGUGAAAUGCGUAGAGAUCCGAAGGAACACCGAUGGCGAAGGCAGCCACCCUGGGUCAACACUGACGCUCAGUACGAA
Molecule: ribosomal RNA, 325 nt
Filed under: bacterium ER-Se-13
Lineage: Bacteria
Description: bacterial SSU rRNA
Rfam family: Bacterial small subunit ribosomal RNA
Source: RNAcentral